Leptinotarsa decemlineata (Colorado potato beetle) is the source of this 235-nucleotide long non-coding RNA. The record is from RefSeq and is a predicted model, not a curated record. Lineage: Eukaryota; Metazoa; Arthropoda; Insecta; Coleoptera; Chrysomelidae.
AGCAGGAACGGAAGAAAUCUGAGAAGGAAAUUGCAAUAAAAAGACGAAAAUUGGAAAAGACUUUGAAGAAUUCGGCCAUCAACAAAUCGAAAGUAACUAAGAAGAAAACGAAAAGUAAAGAAGUUUUUUCAGAAACUGUGCCCACAGACCAAAAGAGUAGUACGGAAACCCGAGGCAAUGCACCAAACGAGAAACAUUCUCCAGAAUGUAUUUCAAAACCAAUGAAAAUACUAAA